UACGUAGGGGUCAAGCGUUAUCCGGAUUUAUUGGGCGUAAAGAGCUCGUAGGCGGCCGUUCGCGUCGGAUGUGAAAGCUCAGGGCUCAACUCUGAGAUGCCAUUCGAUACGGGACGGCUAGAGGUAGGUAGGGGAGAGUGGAAUUCCUGGUGUAGCGGUGAAAUGCGCAGAUAUCAGGAGGAACACCGGUGGCGAAGGCGGCUCUCUGGGCCUUACCUGACGCUGAGGAGCGAAAGCUGGGGGAGCGAACAGG
Molecule: ribosomal RNA, 253 nt
Filed under: uncultured bacterium
Lineage: Bacteria
Description: partial 16S ribosomal RNA
Rfam family: Bacterial small subunit ribosomal RNA
Source: RNAcentral